This is a non-coding RNA of Pelobates cultripes (western spadefoot toad), 250 nucleotides long. The record is from the annotation of a GenBank genome assembly. NCBI's taxonomy places the organism in Eukaryota, Metazoa, Chordata, Amphibia, Anura, Pelobatidae.
CAAUAAUUACACAAUACAAAACUACAACAUUACUGACAAAAGGCUAUAACAGUUGCUAGCUGUUAUUCAACAUUUUACUUACAAGGCCCCAGCCCUUUGGCUGGGGUUAAGUCAGAGCUGGUACUACAUGAUCAGUCAGGUACAGGCAAACAGAGAGCUUGCUUCUCCUAACAUCUGGUUUUUAUUCAGUGUAAGUAGGCUGGCCUGUGAUGUCACUGCCAGAAGCACAGGUCUUCCUACACACUCCCCC